AUGAACGAGGAUAAUAAUAAUUCCAGUCAGCAUGAAAACGUAACUCAUUCGCCAAAUUUUGAAUCACCGAGUGUCGAUAAACAACAGCCAUUCACUGUUGAUAUUUUUGAUCCACGGCACUAGGAUAAUCUGGAUGAUAAGGCUAGAGAUAUUUUAGUUGAGAAGGGUCCUAUAAGAAAUGUUGAUAUUGUGUUCCCUCCAGAUAGUAAUUCUAGUCGUUUUUCACAAACUUAUUAUUCCAGAAAAUUGAGCCCAUGA
Molecule: ribosomal RNA, 258 nt
Filed under: Triticum aestivum (bread wheat)
Lineage: Eukaryota; Viridiplantae; Streptophyta; Magnoliopsida; Poales; Poaceae
Description: partial small subunit ribosomal RNA
Source: RNAcentral